AUGAUUUUCUAUUGCUAUUUUAAUGACACUCCACAGAUCAGUGAUCCAGCACUGAUAGAUGUGCCAUGUCCCAGACUCUACCCAGGCUGGGUUAGAAUCCUCCAUAAUCCUAUCGAUGAUAUAGACAAUCUCCAUCCGAGCGGCCACCUAAACUUCCCUGAUGUCACGGCAACCUACUUUGAAGAGAAUAUUGAGCGUGUAAAAGGCAACAAACAUAUUACAACUUUUCGGUAUUUGAACCCAGCUCUGCCUCUUUCCAUUUGUGAGACCUCAUUAGCUUCAGUGCACUUACCUGUUAAAUGAGAAUAAUGAUAUCAUCUUGCAAGGUGAGUAUGAGUAUUAAGAGCAAACAAAUGUAAAGAUUUUAGUUCAUGGUCUGAUAUAGUAGUUGUUCAAUAAAACAAGAAAUUUUACCA
Molecule: long non-coding RNA, 416 nt
Filed under: Felis catus (domestic cat)
Lineage: Eukaryota; Metazoa; Chordata; Mammalia; Carnivora; Felidae
Description: lncRNA (ENSFCAG00000047236.1)
Source: RNAcentral